RNAcentral lists this ribosomal RNA (487 nucleotides) under uncultured bacterium. Its description in RNAcentral is "bacterial SSU rRNA". It matches the Rfam family "Bacterial small subunit ribosomal RNA", at positions 28 to 526 of the family's 1533-position model. The record is from RNAcentral.
GACGAACGCUGGCGGCGUGCUUAACACAUGCAAGUCGAGCGGAAAGGCCCUUCGGGGUACUCGAGCGGCGAACGGGUGAGUAACACGUGAGUAAUCUGCCCUUGGCUUUGGGAUAACUACCGGAAACGGUGGCUAAUACCGGAUACGACCGAUCCCUGCAUGGGGUGUUGGUGGAAAGUUUUUUCGGCCAGGGAUGUGCUCGCGGCCUAUCAGCUUGUUGGUGGGGUAAUGGCCUACCAAGGCUUCGACGGGUAGCCGGCCUGAGAGGGUGACCGGCCACACUGGGACUGAGACACGGCCCAGACUCCUACGGGAGGCAGCAGUGGGGAAUAUUGGACAAUGGGCGGAAGCCUGAUCCAGCAACGCCGCGUGAGGGAUGACGGCCUUCGGGUUGUAAACCUCUUUCGACAUUGACGAAGCCCUUUUAGGGUGACGGUAGGUGUAGAAGAAGGACCGGCCAACUACGUGCCAGCCGCCGCCGUAAAAC